RNAcentral lists this ribosomal RNA (478 nucleotides) under uncultured bacterium. RNAcentral's name for it is "partial 16S ribosomal RNA". It matches the Rfam family "Bacterial small subunit ribosomal RNA", at positions 28 to 507 of the family's 1533-position model. The record is from RNAcentral.
GAUGAACGCUGGCGGCGUGCUUAACACAUGCAAGUCGAACGGGAAUUAUUUUAUUGAAACUUCGGUCGAUUUAAUUUAAUUCUAGUGGCGGACGGGUGAGUAACGCGUGGGUAACCUGCCUUAUACAGGGGGAUAACAGUCAGAAAUGGCUGCUAAUACCGCAUAAGCGCACAGAGCUGCAUGGCCCAGUGUGAAAAACUCCGGUGGUAUAAGAUGGACCCGCGUUGGAUUAGCUGGUUGGGGGGGUAACGGCCCACCAAGGCGACGAUCCAUAGCCGGCCUGAGAGGGUGAACGGCCACAUUGGGACUGAGACACGGCCCAGACUCCUACGGGAGGCAGCAGUGGGGAAUAUUGCACAAUGGGGGAAACCCUGAUGCAGCGACGCCGCGUGAAGGAAGAAGUAUCUCGGUAUGUAAACUUCUAUCAGCAGGGAAGAUAGUGACGGUACCUGACUAAGAAGCCCCGGCUAACUACGUG